GGCUGGUUCAAAGGUACUGUGUUAUCUCGAUUGAUUUUUCAGUCAGUUACAGAUUGAAUUUUUUGUUCUACUCUUUCCACUCUUCUCCCUACUGCCUUGACUAGCCUUUA
The sequence is a Y RNA, 110 nucleotides long. It matches the Rfam family "Y RNA". From Rfam's summary of the family: Y RNAs are components of the Ro ribonucleoprotein particle (Ro RNP), in association with Ro60 and La proteins. The record is from Ensembl.